AGCGGCUGCCAGAGGGUCCUGGGCACAGGGCAGGCCGGGCUUCCUCAGGGGCUCCGCCCUUGGCCUCUUUGGCCCGGCGGAAGAUGUCAGCCACAAACUCCUUGGCUUUGGCAAUGGCGGGCGAGGGCUCAGGAGACCCAGAGGAACGGGCUGGGGCCGCCUCAGGGCAGAAGCUGGGAGGGCAGGGGGCAGCUCUGGGCUCUGGGGCUCAGGGGGGCUGGCGGGCGCCGGGGGGCAGGUGCUGUGGUCAUACAGGAUUUGGCAGAAACUCCUGUCACCUGGAAGAAGAGAUGGGUGUGGACAAGUGUCAGUCUGGGGUGCUCCCAGCCUUGCUCAGUGUCCUCAGGGGUUUUCAGAAACCCACCUUGAGGAGACACUUCUAGACUUGGCUAUGCUGAGAUCAGUCUGAAACCCCCAGAAGGGAAAAGACCUUUCCGCGCAUGCACACCACGCACACCACGCACACACGCGUGCAGACGUUCACGUUCAUUCAAACCCCUUUCUUAAGCUGUCUACUGAGUGCCCCACGCUGAGGACACAGGAGUGAACUAGGAGCCGACACUCUACAGUGUAGAGCGUUCACUACAGUAGCAUCCAGCCUCCUAACAUCUGCCACUCUGUCGAGGGACAUCUUGUGAUUUUCACUGGCGUUUCUCUGAUAUGGAAGUCCUAAGGCAAGGCCCUCCUGGGUCCUUCCCGACACAAGCCAGACUGCUGCGGGCACACUUCAUCGAAUCGGGGCCUCUGUCUCUGCCUGCCUAGAGAUGACUCCCCCAAGGAAUGCGGGCAACACAUGGAGAACCCCAACAUAUUCACUGAGCAGCCCUGUGGCUGGGCCCCAUCCCAGGUUUCCUCUGAGCCUCCUACAAGUAACCCCCAGAGAAGGGCCGCGUCCCCCAAAAUGCAGCUCAGAGAUGAACUUGCCCAAGGUCAAAUCUGAGAUAAAUCAAGUCCGGGCUCCCCUCCACCACCGUGACAGCCCUUCCACGACAGGGCGGGGAACAGAUGGGAUGAGGCUGGUUUGGACUGAUGGGAAGUUGAGAAUCAGUGCUUGGGGUUACUUGGUCAUGGGGUCACAGGUGUGAACACCCCAACUCUUGCCCUGCAGAACAACCAGCUCCAGGAACUCCCCUACAAUGAGCUGUCCCGCCUCAGUGGCCUGCGAACCCUCAACCUCCACAACAACCUCAUCUCCUCAGAAGGUGAGGGGCAGAGGGAGGCAGCCUCUCUGGGGCUGAAGGACUGACCGAGGUCUCAGCUGCCAUCCCCUUCCCCCGCCCCGUCUGCGGGCAGCUCUGUCGCAGUUCCCAGAACUGCCCUUU
This 1322-nucleotide long non-coding RNA is filed under the name Macaca fascicularis (crab-eating macaque). RNAcentral describes it as "lncRNA (ENSMFAG00000051746.1)". The record is from RNAcentral. Lineage: Eukaryota; Metazoa; Chordata; Mammalia; Primates; Cercopithecidae.